GGAAGGCAGGAUGGUAUGGUGGAAAGAAGCUUUUAUGCACAGUCAGAGGGCCUCAGUGUGAAUUUGUGAAAGCAAGAAAAAACAAAGCCCCUGUGGAGUCAAGCCAAACAAAUUUCCGCAUUGACCAUGUAUAUUUUUAAAAAAUGAAAGACUCAUUCUUGAACUUUACUUUGAAAUCUUUGAACACUCACAAAGAGAUAUAGAAGUGUUUGAAACAUGUAUGUGAAGAAACCCAUGUCACUAGAUUGUUAACAUCAAAGGGUGAUAGGAUGGAGCUCCAGGCAGGCCAUAGUCAGAGGCAGAGUUCGUACAGAUCAUUGCUGUGAAGGGAAGAGCUGAGGGGCCUAUAUAAGAAUGGAGCAAAUGGAGUUGGAAAACCAGUAGGUAAUUUUUAAAGACUCAGAUAAAUUAUAAUUUGUUAAAUGAAAAAAUAUGAAGAAAUAGUAGCAUGGGCAAAGUUGCCUUGUAGCUAUGAAAUAUAUGUCCCUCAAAUUCUGGAUUUUCCAAACUUAUGUAGGAAGAAAUCUUUAGAGAAAUUCACAAACUUUCAUUACUAGGGAAUUUUGGAAAGUGUCUAUAUUAGCCUAUCCCUCAAUCAAUAUCUUCCUAUGGCAUCUCUGAUAAGUAGUUUCCAGGUUUCCCUUGAAAAUAUGAGAGUGUUUUCAGUGGGAAAGUGGAGGGAGUACUUAUAGCUUUUCAAGGUAACACGUUCUAUGUGGUGACAGUUUAAAUGGUAGUGAUGGCUGCUGACUAUGCAGGGUGGUCAUUGCUGAAGACUGGGGUGUCUGGACAUUUCUUAAAAUAAAACAACAUUGAAGUUUGCUACAUUGAUUGAGUCUUCCUUUUACUUGGACACUUAAUGGCCAUGGUAGAGUUAUUAAUUGGCCUGAUUUUAAUAUUGUUUUAUCACAGGUAAUGGGGAGGAUGGGGAAUAGUUAGAAGAUAUAACAUUUAUGAAAUCUGCCCUCUUAUGAGGGUGCAAUUGUUGUACCCCAAAACAUUUACAAUGCUGACAUCAAAGAUCACUGAUCACAGAUUACUAUAAUAGAUAUAAGAAGUUUGAAAUAUUGUGAGAAUUAGACAUAAUGGGAGCACAUGCUUUUGGGAAAAUGGUGCCAAAGAGUUUUGAUUGAAGCAACAGAUUUUCUUAGCUGUUAUAGCAAGUCCCCAACCAACUUUUCCACAUUGACUCUGAAGGGGCCAGAGGACUUUAGGUUUCUCUGUGGUAGUUGAUGUGUGAUGAAAAUGGGGGAAGACAAAUAGGGAGAUCAGCCAUAUCUUUAUACCAUCUACCUGGAUGAACAUUGAAGAGAAGGAAAAAUAAACUAAGGUUAGGGGGAAGGAAGAAAAGCAAGAUGAUAAAGAUGGAGAAGUUGGAUAUGUGAUUGAUGGUUCUGAUAGAGUUGAAACACACCCAUCUAUCAUUGGUGGCUAUAUCUUAAUUUUACAAAAAUGUGAUUUUUGAGGGAAAUGGUCUAAAGGAUCAUUAGUUCUAUAAGAAUAAUAGUUUUAAUAAGUGAUUCGCCAAAUGACAUGUGGGAUUUGGGUUAUAAUUUAGUAAUGUUGUAAUUGUGAAGCAGCAUCAAUGGAUAGUGUUUUUCUGAUCAUUCUUGUAGUAGUGUCCCUGAUUUCAAAGGAUGAGAGAGUUGCUCUUUUUGUCAGGAGCAGAUAUUUUAUUUUAUAUUUUUAGAGAUAUUUUGUAUUUUGUUGUUGGUAUUAACUUGGACUUAAAAUCACAAAGAUCUGGGUUCAUAUCCUAUUUCUGUGAUAAAAACUAUGUGAUCACAGGCAAACCUCUAAUCCUUAGUUUCCUUAUCUGUAAAAUGAGCACAAUAACCCAUAGUGCUUACAUUAUAGGAUGAUUGUGAGGCUAAAAUAAAUUAAUACAUAGAAGCCAUUUUGCACAUCCUUAAAAUACUAUUUAGAUAUCAUUUAUUAUAUUAAAUUUAAUUAUAGCUAGUUAAUUUAACAAAUUCUUUUAAAAGCCAGGCCAUUGAUAAAUCAGGGGAGGAGAGGCAUAUUUAGAACUUUAUGUUUAAAUUUUCCCAAAAUGAGGGAAUACAAUAUAUUUCUCAUACAGAAUCUUCAAACACUGAAAAAUAAGCACAUAAUAGUGCCUACCAUUCAUGGAAAUAUAUGUUAAAAAAUACUUUUGGUGACAGUAAUCCUGUAGAAACUUUGAGUAGGUGUAUAAUGGGACAGGUGGUAGGAAACAUGAUUGUAUUCUGAAAACAAAGGAAAUAUGAACAUUUCUGUGGUUGCUGCAGUAAAAUAAAAUGAGAAAUAAGUGGAGCUAAGACAGAAGCAAAUUUAUGAAGCAGAAUAUUUGUAUAUUUAAAUGAAAAAUAAUUUUAUUGUUAUAAUUAAAAAAACAAACAAAAUUGGAGACAGUUUUGUUUUAUUUGAUAAAAAAAGCUCAGCCAAAAUAGAUUCAGGAGCAAGCUUGAACCUAACACUCAUAGUUUAGAGAUUUCUGUCAAAAUUACAUCUAUCUUGUCAAACAAUACUCCUUCUGUUUCACUCAUUCCCAAAGAAGACAUCAGCCAUUGUCCCACAAGCUACAUAGAGAAAUUGUCUUAGAGGAAGUUGAAGUCUUUAAUCAAAAAUUGCUUGGAAUUCAACAUAGAAGAACGGAAUUAAACAUUAUAUAGUUAGAACUUGGAAUAUAUGGAUUUAAGAUGCUGAUCUGAAAUCCACAACUCAUUAUAAAAGGCAAAGUAACAUAAAAUCAAGAUUGUAGAGAGGAUAUUCUUACAUUGUGUUUUCAGUGAGAGAUCUAUUAAUGUUUUUCUUUUUCAUGGACACUUUUCUGAUUGAGAUUUCUUUUUUUUAAAUGUGAUCUAGUAUCAUUUUAAAUACUUUUUAAUGGAAAAGAAGCAGAUUUAUUGGAAGUACACAUGUUAGCAGUUUUUAUUUUUUGUAGUUUGAUUCCACAGAUAAUUUUUCACAAUAGCAUGCUAGAUGUUUACUUCUAAAUUGUAACCCUGUAAUGUGAAUUCAUAUCAAUUAAGUAAACCUUAUGUGUCCACUCUGUACAGAAACUUGGGCUAGAUGUGUCAAGAAUAAGAUAAGACUUGCUUCUUCAUUAAACUAACAAUCUAGUUUUAAUUUGACACUAUGGUUAAUUUUUCUUAUGCUUAGAGAGAAAUAAGUACAAAAUAUAUUCUUCACUUCUCUAGGACUUCUUUGUGAAACUCCAUGAUCAAAUCCAGUGAAUAUGGUAAAGCAGGGAUUGACUGUGAAGUGUGUUUCAUCUUGAUAAAGAGGAGAAAGAAGGUAGAAAGUCUUGUGUCUGGGAACAUAGUAGUACUUAAUGAAUCCUUUGAACUUGAAGGUACUAAGGUCCAAGGGAGAUAUGUUAGUUAACAGUAUUGUUGCUCAGUCGUUUUAGUUAUAUCCAAUUCUUUGUGAUCCUUGUGUGGUGUUUUCUUGUCAGAGAUA
Sarcophilus harrisii (Tasmanian devil) is the source of this 3441-nucleotide long non-coding RNA. RefSeq lists it as uncharacterized. NCBI's taxonomy places the organism in Eukaryota, Metazoa, Chordata, Mammalia, Dasyuromorphia, Dasyuridae. The record is from RefSeq and is a predicted model, not a curated record. The transcript has 3 exons.